RNAcentral lists this ribosomal RNA (217 nucleotides) under Segatella buccae. Its description in RNAcentral is "partial 23S ribosomal RNA". It matches the Rfam family "Bacterial large subunit ribosomal RNA", at positions 2691 to 2925 of the family's 2925-position model. Lineage: Bacteria; Pseudomonadati; Bacteroidota; Bacteroidia; Bacteroidales; Prevotellaceae. The record is from RNAcentral.
ACAGGGUCUCGUGGGCUCGGUGAUGUGUUUAAGAGACAGCCGCCGGGUAGCCGCGUCCGGCCGGGAUAAGCGCUGAAGGCAUCUAAGCGCGAAGCCCUCCGCAAGAUGAGAACUCCUUGAUAUGAGGGCCGUCAGAGACGAUGACGUUGAUAGGGCGCAGGUGUAAAGGCGGCGACGCCAAAGCCGAGCGCUACUAAUUGCCCGAAGCUUUCCCCGU